CCCUUAGAUGUUCUGGGCCGCACGCGCGCUACACUGACGAUGGCAACGAGUUUUUCCUUCGCCGAAAGGUGUGGGUAAUCUUUUGAAACAUCGUCGUGCUGGGGAUAGAUCAUUGCAAUUUUUGAUCUUGAACGAGGAAUUCCUAGUAAGCGCGAGUCAUCAGCUCGCGUUGAUUACGUCCCUGCCCUUUGUACACACCGCCCGUCGCUACUACCGAUUGAAUGGUUUAGUGAGGACUCCUGAUUGGCGCCGCCGCCCCGGCAACGGAGCAACGGACUGCCGAAAAGUUGUUCAAACUUGAUCAUUUAGAGGAAGUAAAAGUCGUAACA
This 329-nucleotide ribosomal RNA is filed under the name uncultured eukaryote. RNAcentral describes it as "partial 18S ribosomal RNA". It matches the Rfam family "Eukaryotic small subunit ribosomal RNA", at positions 1470 to 1796 of the family's 1831-position model. The record is from RNAcentral.